UACGUAGGGUGCGAGCGUUGUCCGGAAUUAUUGGGCGUAAAGGGCUCGUAGGCGGUUUGUCGCGUCGGGAGUGAAAACCUUGGGCUUAACUCUGGGCUUGCUUUCGAUACGGGCAGACUAGAGGUAUGCAGGGGAGAACGGAAUUCCUGGUGUAGCGGUGAAAUGCGCAGAUAUCAGGAGGAACACCGGUGGCGAAGGCGGUUCUCUGGGCAUGAUCUGACGCUGAGGAGCGAAAGUGUGGGGAGCGAACAGG
Molecule: ribosomal RNA, 253 nt
Filed under: uncultured bacterium
Lineage: Bacteria
Description: partial 16S ribosomal RNA
Rfam family: Bacterial small subunit ribosomal RNA
Source: RNAcentral